This 550-nucleotide ribosomal RNA is filed under the name uncultured bacterium. Its description in RNAcentral is "bacterial SSU rRNA". It matches the Rfam family "Bacterial small subunit ribosomal RNA", at positions 363 to 917 of the family's 1533-position model. The record is from RNAcentral.
AUUGGUAAUGGGCGCAGCCUGAACCAGCCAUGCCGCGUGCAGGAAGACGGUCCUAUGGAUUGUAAACUGCUUUUAUACAGGAAGAAACAACUCUACGUGUAGAGUCUUGACGGUACUGUAGGAAUAAGGAUCGGCUAACUCCGUGCCAGCAGCCGCGGUAAUACGGAGGAUCCAAGCGUUAUCCGGAAUCAUUGGGUUUAAAGGGUCCGUAGGCGGUCUUAUAAGUCAGUGGUGAAAGCCCGUCGCUCAACGAUGGAACUGCCAUUGAUACUGUAAGACUUGAAUGCUUAGGAAGUAACUAGAAUAUGUAGUGUAGCGGUGAAAUGCUUAGAUAUUACAUGGAAUACCAAUUGCGAAGGCAGGUUACUACUAAGUGAUUGACGCUGAUGGACGAAAGCGUGGGGAGCGAACAGGAUUAGAUACCCUGGUAGUCCACGCCGUAAACGAUGGAUACUAGCUGUUCGGAGCAAUCUGAGUGGCUAAGCGAAAGUGAUAAGUAUCCCACCUGGGGAGUACGCACGCAAGUGUGAAACUCAAAGAAAUUGACGGA